RNAcentral lists this transfer RNA (74 nucleotides) under Chlorophthalmus nigromarginatus. RNAcentral's name for it is "tRNA-Asp". It matches the Rfam family "tRNA". From Rfam's summary of the family: Transfer RNA (tRNA) molecules are approximately 80 nucleotides in length. Their secondary structure includes four short double-helical elements and three loops (D, anti-codon, and T loops). The record is from RNAcentral. Lineage: Eukaryota; Metazoa; Chordata; Actinopteri; Aulopiformes; Chlorophthalmidae.
GAGAUACUAGUUAAAGUGCAUCAUAACAUUGUCUUGUCAAGACAAAAUUGUGGGUUGAAAUCCCACGCAUUUCA